This 72-nucleotide small nuclear RNA is filed under the name Oryctolagus cuniculus (rabbit). RNAcentral describes it as "U4 spliceosomal RNA". It matches the Rfam family "U4 spliceosomal RNA", at positions 1 to 72 of the family's 138-position model. From Rfam's summary of the family: U4 small nuclear RNA (U4 snRNA) is a component of the major U2-dependent spliceosome. The record is from Rfam by way of RNAcentral. Lineage: Eukaryota; Metazoa; Chordata; Mammalia; Lagomorpha; Leporidae.
AGCUUUGCACAGUGGCAGUAUCAUAGCCAAUGAGGUUUAUCCAAGGCGUGAUUAUUGCUAAAAAAAAAAAAA